This 3041-nucleotide unclassified non-coding RNA is filed under the name Hevea brasiliensis (rubber tree). Lineage: Eukaryota; Viridiplantae; Streptophyta; Magnoliopsida; Malpighiales; Euphorbiaceae. The record is from RNAcentral.
AAACAAUAAAGCAAAAUGAUGAAUCCACAUAACUUGCCAAGUCAAACAAAAAAAAUCGACCUGCAUACUCUGGAAAGAGUAUUAUAAUAAAAUUGAUAAGAGAUUACAAUGCUUUGAAAAAGUUUAGACAACCAACCAUGGAAUGGAACAUAUCACCAUAACAGGAGGAACACUAAAUAUGAUCUCAUGAAUGGUAUAUAAUUUUGUGUUAUUGCUCUCAACUACCUGCAAUAAUGUAUCUUGAACUAUCAACAUUAUUAUCAUUCAGCACUAUCAACAACCCACAAUUAUUAACAUUAUCAAUAUAACCCAGGGGUAAAGACAAUCGUCAUUAUCUUCAUUACCAGAUUCUUAUGCACAAUAUGCUCAUUAUUAGAACCAAGUAAUAAUUAGGGUGGAAUAAAAUAUAUUUUGAGCAAUUAACUUUCAGUGACCACAAGAAGAGGCGCCAUUAUCGACAAGCAAGAGAGACAUUUACUGCCAUCUCAACGGACGUAACAGCGAGGCAUGCAGGGUGGCAUAUACAUUUUGCUUUGUUGAGACUUGAGAGUUCAGCCAGCCUUCAGUUUUGAUGCUUUUUGUUUAACAAAAAAAGCUGAUAGCACACUUUUACUGCGAGCAGGAGCACGUACCAUCUCUCGCCUUGGGUUAUCAAAUGACCUGAAUGCUGUCAAAGGCUUAGAACCCUCCAACGAUUCCUGCAAAAAGAGAUUUUGCAGUCUAGCUUUUACUAAUUCUUCUGAAAGGAUAUGCACAGACAUCAGAAUAGCAUGAAUGCAUGAUUGGAUUAUCUAACCAAGAGAAAAGCUCAAAAUGCAUUUAUUCCCAAAGCAUAUAUACAGCAAGGAAAAAUCCCAUGGGAAUUCUUCGAUCAAAUAAGAUAAUUCAAUGGGCAUAAAAGAUGAGCAUUUCUCAAUCAAUGGAUUAAUUGGCAUAUCUUUAAUGUACAGUAACUAAUCUGCAGAUAUUAGUAAGUAAUAGUUAGCUAUGGAGAACUCUGAAAAGAAGUAUAUCCUAUAUCAAAUUACACACUCACUCAGGCAAUAUUUCAACAUAGUUGAUCUACCAUAAACAUGAUCUUGCAUACACACCCAGAAGCCAAGAUAUGGUCCAAUUAUUUUUUUUUUUUCCUUGUCUAUUACCAUGAUCAUAUGUAUGUCAACUGGCAAAUUACAAAAUUCAAGUUCCUCAAGUACCCUGGAAAUAUAUUAAACAAACAAGCAGAUAUAAUAUAUCCAAUAAUUAGCUGAGGAUGCUUCAUGUUGCUUGAUCCUAGAGUCCAGACGAAUUCCUAAUUUCAAUCAAAAGGAUUCCAUGAUCUAAAAUGAUCAUUAAAUCAAGUAAUAUUCAAUCAGUUUGUGGAAUUUCACGUUCCCACUUCUUUGAAAGGUAAAAGGCCUCCACAACAACAAAAUACAAUGCUCUACCAAGGAAAAAUAUAAGUAAGUAAUUUGCUGCACACAUCUGUCCAAGGCAUGUGGCAUUAACCAAGACAUCUAGACUUAAAAGAGACCACAGCUCUUAAAUAUUUUAAUCCAACCAAACAUCAGUCGCAUACACACUACUUUCACUUAUAACGUAGUUGGUUUUCACUUCAGAUGGAAAUUUGAGCAACAAUCAAUCCAUCGAAGGUACAUGAAGUUUCUCAUCAUCCACCACGUUUAAUUGAAUACGACCAAAACCAUGAUUAUUUCCAGAUUAACAGUAGCAAGUUUGUACACACGUCCAGGGUGGAAAUAUGGUAGUUCCCUAUCCUUGCAUAUGCAAUCAGUAAUACUAGAGCCACGACAAAAACCAAGCACAACUAUCCACAGAUAUAGAUCACUUAAAAGCUGGAAGUCUUUUGCAGGUUGCAGCAAUAAUAAAAGAAUGGACCAGCUUCCCACAAUUUGCAAUUGAAGCAGCAGGUGAAUCUAGGUCUCACAUUAUGUGGCAUAAUUUGUCAAGCAACUCCACUAGUCUGGAUUAAGACUCAUACCAGCUGUCGUUCAUGCCUACAUUUAAGAUGAAGACUUUCCAAAACCAGAAAUCAUACACCACAUAGAACUUAGAAGUUAGAACCAAAGUGUUAAGUCUGCUCAGACCCAUAGGACAGGAAAAAAAAAGAAUCAAAAGUAGUUACAUGCAGCUCACACCAGAGCUUGAGCUAUACUAAGGCAUUGACCUUUUAAGGUGGUUUCAUAAAAGAUAUCAUCAAAUUUAUGAAAUGAAAUACUAUAUGAAAAAGGCAUUUCACCCAAAUGGAUUACAAGAAAUCAAGAAAAAAAAAAUCUCAAACAAACAACAAACCAAGGAAUAGUUAAUAUACUAAUUUUACUUCCUUUUAUUUAUCUAUUUUUCAUUUUUUUAAUGAUCAACAAUGUACUUAGAAGAAUGUCGGGCAUGUCUGUGUUUUUGCUGAUUUUGAAAUUACCCUGCGUGUGACACCAAAUGUUUGCAUGAUUACACCAGAAGUAGGACUUCCAGCUGAUAGUUGAGAAAGAGCUCCUGAUGGUCUUGUCUGUGUACUCUCUUCUUUAUCCAGUAGUUGGAAAACUGCAGAAGAUUUUCCACAAUUUUUUGUGUCUUCAGCAUUCAUCAAAGUUUGUGAAGUCCCUUUCAAUGUAGACUUGGUCUCAGAGGCUAAAUGCCAGGAAAGAGUUUUGGAUGCGGGGGAACCUGAAGGCUGGAGAUGAGAUCUAGCUUGAAAUGAAUUUUUCCUUGCAUCAGUUUGAAUGUAAGGGCUAAAAUGUACCUUCUUGUUAACAGAAUCUAGGACAACCAGAGAAGCAAAGAAAAUAAAGCAGUUUGAAAACAAUAUAUAUCUCCCCAGAUCAAUUAGUACCUAUGCAAGAACCUAAAGGUAACUAGUCUUACUUGGUAAUAUAUAAUGUUUGUGAUGUCUUGGGAUAAAUGCCAACAACUGCUGCUGCCUAAGACCUUCCUUAUCCGUAUAUGUUUGGCAUGUAAGAAGUUGCUGAUUUAGACAUGAAACUUUUAGCUCCGUGGUUGAGACGUCUAAAGUUUGUUGCUCAACAAGGCCAGUUAACUUGUAAGCCACG